This 6303-nucleotide long non-coding RNA is filed under the name Phoenix dactylifera (date palm). Its description in RNAcentral is "long non-coding RNA (PDAC_LNC008287)". Lineage: Eukaryota; Viridiplantae; Streptophyta; Magnoliopsida; Arecales; Arecaceae. The record is from RNAcentral.
AAAAAGGUCAUUACCCAGUUAUGUCCCUGAUAAUCCAGGGUCCUGAGUGGGGUGAACUGGGGAUAGGCCUAAGCUUUGUUUUACUUUUUCUUUACAAAGUGGCUGGGCAUAACUCCAACACGUGCCAUUUCACAUGUUAACCCAGGUCUUUACCAUUGCACCAAGCAACUUGACUGAGAUCAACAUGAGGAAACAACAUCUCAUAGCAUUUGAAUAGUGCAUAGUGUUUUGAGCACCUAUGAACAUUAUUUCAGCAUGAAAUACCAUGGGCUAUUAUUUAUAUCAACGGAUGCUAAUUAACAUAAUAAAUUAGAAAACAGAUCAAAUCUCUAUAGCAGUUCAAAAUAAUAUAUUUUAUAACUACAAAAAGUAAUUAUUCACAAAUUUAUAUUCCUGAACCUAACACGAGUAAAUAAUGUUAUUUUUCUUAUUAUUUAGUACCAUGCCCAUUUAAAGCUUGAUAAGCACAUGCAUAGUAUUUGUAUUUUACUUUUUUGAGUAAAUGAUAACUAUCACAUCAGAUGAUUUAUCAAAUGCUCUUAAGAUUAGUCGAUGUAAUAUUCUGUUUUUUUUCCUUCUAUUUCUCAGGCAAAGGAUAGAUUCUAGCCUAAACUAUUCUUGUUGUUACUACUUGAGCAUGGUAGAGUGCUUGAUAACUGGUCAGGAAGGAGCGUGAUAGGUUAUGAGAUGCUGGUUCUAUAGGUUCCACCAGUUGUAAAGGAAUAGAAGGAUAGGCUUGUAGAGAGUCCAUGUUAAGAAGGAACAUGGGAAUACAAAAUAAAAUAUUCUCAGUAAUAUUAUUUUUUAAGAAACUCCCCUUUUGUUUUGUACGAGGGUUGGGGUGGGUUAAUGGCUAACAUAAAACUAUAGUCACAUCGUAUGGACAUGAAUCUAUAUAAAAGAAGCUGACACACUACAUUGGACCCUGGGUGUAAUGAAAAGUGUGCAAGAGUUGACUAGGGUGUUUCUCAGAAGCGACUCACCAUAUCGAUCCUUAGAUGUGGGGAGAAGUAGGCAAGGGUUCUCAGUAAGGUCCGCCGUACCAAUCGUACCGAUGUACCGGUGGGCACCGGUACCGUUACGGUACCGAACCGAAUCGGUACCAUUUUGGGCUAACGGAGCAGCGAAGUUCGGAAGCGGACAAAGAAAACAAUGCGCGUACGUGUGCGCACGCAUCUGCGUUAAAUGACAUCUCUAUGGCAUUAAAUGGCCCACGCGGGUUGCCUCGGGGAACCGCGCCCGCGCGCAUGGUUCCCUGCGCGGGGAAUCGUGCGCAGGAGUGAGUUGGGCGCGAUUUUUUGCGCGAGGAACCGACUGCUGGCGUGGUUCACUGCUCGCGCUCGCUGCCCCGUGCGGGGGCGGUUCCUAGCGCUGGGAACCGCACGCGACCGCGUGGAACCGCAUCAUCUUCCCUUGCCCUUCCACAUCACCGCCUCCCCUACCCCAGCUCAUCCCUUCGAACUGUCCACUCCGUUCGGGGCCUUCUUCUGUGGGGCCACCUCCCCAGUUGCCAAAGGAGGCGCCGUCGUCGGGAGCCCCAACGACAGGCUGCUCCUCACCAUUCUCGAAGCUACCCCCUCUCCCUCAUCGCCGGCAAGGGAUGACCGUGCGAGCGCCGUCCCAAAGGGAGGAGGGCUUAGGGCCCUCGUGCCGUUGCGGUCACUGUGCCACCUCCGCCUCCCCUCCACCGAAGAGGAAGAAGAUGAGCCCGGUACCAGCCCUGUUCGCACCGGUACGAAGGUGGAACUGCUCGGUUCCAGCCUCGAAGGGGCCGGAACCAUUUUUUAAGCCUGUACUGAACCGGUCAGGGGUGGUACCUGUCCGGUACAAGGCUAAAUUGGCUGAUAUGGGCUUUGGUUCGCACUUUUUAAUGGGCAGGUGUAGGUAAAAAAGUUGGUCUAUGAAAAUACGAUACAUUUAAUAAUAUGGAAUAUAGGGUUCUUGAUAAGAAAAUUGAUGGAACAAUGUCUAGAGGAGAGUUAACAUAGCUUGCAUGCAUGAGACUAAGAGUAUGGAAGAGAAGUUAAGGAAGUUGGUAAAAUAGGUUAUAAACUUUAGUAUACCAGGCAAGAUAGAAAUAUAAAUGGAGUAGGACUAUUCUAGAUAAGAGUUUAAAAGAUGAGGUUAUAGAUAUUAAGAGAGUAGGAGAUAGAAUAGUGAUAAAAUUAGUGUUAGGGACGAGUCCAUUAAUAUCAGUAGUGCUUGUGCUCCUCAAGUAGGAUCGGAUGAUGCUACAAAGCAACACUUUUGGGAGGAUUUGGAUGGAUCAAUUCAAGGGAUUGCUUAUAGGGAAGAAAUAUUUAUCAAAGGAGAUUUGAAUGAUCAUGUGGGAAAAUAUAAUAUAGAUUUUGAAAGGUGCAUGGGGGCCAUGGUUUCGGAGAUAGAAAUGAGGAAGGAGAUGUCAUUUUGGAGUUCAUGAUGGCAUAUAACCUAUUAUUAGCUAACAUUUGCUUUAAAAAGAAGGAUUCUCACUUGAUAACUUUUAAAAGUAAGUAAAAUACUAGUCAAAUAGAUUUCUUUCUCACGAGAAAGACAUUAACAAGUCUGAUCAAGUUUUAUCUAAAGAUUGUAAGUUUAUACCGAGUGAGAUUUAAUAACCAUCAUAGAUUGAUAGAUUUGGAUGUGUGUAUUAGGAAAUGGAAUAGGACUAAGAGAAUAAGAACUCGAGGACUAGGUUGUGGAACUUGCGAGGAGAGAAACAAAUGACUUUUAAAGAUAUAGAAUAUUUGAAGAAGAAAAUAAGAUCUAGAUGGGGAAAUCAAUAUCAUAUGGGACGAGAUAGUUAACAAUAUUAAUAUGGGACGAGAUAGUUAACAAUAUUAAAAAAGUGGCACAGAGAUAUCAGAAGAAUCCACGUAAAAAUGGCUAUCUACCAUGCAAACUUGGUAGUGGUAUAGAAAAAUCCAGUAGCACUUGACUACCUAAUUAUAGGAAUAGAGAAGCGUAUGAGAGCUAUAAGAUGUCUAAGAAGGGAGUUAAGAAGGUAGUACAAGAAGCUAGAUUCAGAAUGUACUAUCAUAAGUUAGAAACUAAUGGUGGCGAGAAAAAUAUCUAUAAGAUUGCAAGACUAAGAGAGUAAAACUAGAGACUUAGGUUUAAUACAUCAAAGAUGAAAAUCAAAAUAUUUUACUUAAGGAAGACGAGAUCAAAGGAAAAUGAAAAAGUUGUUUCCAGAAGCUAUUCAGUGAAAGUUAUGUAAACGACUUAGGAUGCCUUACUAGUUUCAUUGAGGAUAAAAAUAUUAAAUGUAUAGUAGAAUUAGUGAUGCAAUGCAUGAUGUAGUCGACGGGUACUAUGACCAACGAGACUAUGCUAAGCAUCAGAGGAGCUAGUGGAUUCAUGGUGAAGACUGCAGUAGGCAAAUAUUUGAUUUAUUUCCAUCCAGUGAGCGAGCGUGCGAUUGAAUAGGAUUCAGAAGUUUUUGGCAAAUUUUUUUAUAAAUUUUUCAUUAGGGAUAAUAUCAAAUUUCAGUGAGAUUUCAAUAUGCAAUAGAAUAAUUCUAGUAUGUUUUCUUAUUAUCGUUUUCUAUUUCGAGUAUGAUUCUGUAUCGGGUUUAACAUCCGAAUGAGGGUUAGGGUAUCAUAUCCUAUAAAUAUUGAUGCAGGACGGAAGUACAGAUUGAAAUACAGAGAGAAAGAGGAGAGGAAGAGGGGAAGAAGAAGGGAAAGAGGAAAAGAGGAGGAAGAAGAAGACCAAUUUUUCAUUCAUUAGUUCAUUAAACCCUAAACAUCAGGAUGGACCCAUAUAUAUAGGGUCACAAAAUAACAAAUAACCCCUACAAAUAAAAUAAUUCCAAAAAGCUCCUAAAAUGACAAUAUGCAAAUAAACCCAAAUGACAAUAUGCAAAUAAACCCAAUCAACAUAAAAUAAAUCAAUCUAAAAUAAAAUCAGGCUGGCUGAAUCGGCUAGAACCCGCUGAGCUGGCUGGAUCUUGUGGCGACCGGCUGACCUGGCACUGGUGUCCGCACCAACUCUCCUCGGGUGGAAAGAAGUCGACCUCGACGAAAGUGGCUCGGUAAAGCCCCGGUAGUACUCCAACAAGUCCGGGUCAAUCGGCGGUAUCUCCUCGCGCUGGAUCCAAGUGUAGCCGGACCUUGGUCGUCCUCGCCAACGAACCAGAAAAUGUUGGAUGCCUCCAUCACUGGUAAAAACUAUUUGCUCGGCUAAAAUAGAAUCAAUAUACUCUUUUUGUGCUCGAUGGGGGGUAAAAGGAAACGAAGAUGGCAUGGAAUCAAUAAUAGGAUAAACAUCAGGCGCAGGAGAGUGUGCAGCAAAAGAGUCAUCAGGGAUUGCAACCAAAUCUUUAAUAUUAAUAGUAAGGCUAUGACCGAAAUCAAAUGGAAAGUCAAUGGCAUAGGCGUCAGUGCCAUCCUUGUGCAACACCCUGAAUGGUCCAAUACUAAGAGACUGCAAUUCCUUAAGAUGGAUCAUUACGUAACCCCAAGUUUGAAAUUCUUUAGCACGGNNNNNNNNNNNNNNNNNNNNNNNNNNNNNNNNNNNNNNNNNNNNNNNNNNNNNNNNNNNNNNNNNNNNNNNNNNNNNNNNNNNNNNNNNNNNNNNNNNNNNNNNNNNNNNNNNNNNNNNNNNNNNNNNNNNNNNNNNNNNNNNNNNNNNNNNNNNNNNNNNNNNNNNNNNNNNNNNNNNNNNNNNNNNNNNNNNNNNNNNNNNNNNNNNNNNNNNNNNNNNNNNNNNNNNNNNNNNNNNNNNNNNNNNNNNNNNNNNNNNNNNNNNNNNNNNNNNNNNNNNNNNNNNGAUUUGCUCCUCUAAGUCAUCUAUGUCACCUCCUGCUUUUGCUGAGCAAUAACGAAAAAUUUGUUCGCACAUUGGGAGGUAACGUGACCAAAACCUUGGCAUUUGUAACACCGAAUUUUGGAAUGUGGUUUGGGAGGCUCACCAAGCAUUUCCUUGCCAUUAGUGUCUCGGCCUGUGACAUGGGCAACAGGAGGGGGCCUAUGAGUAGUGGACCCUACAGAAGGUUUGGACCCUAAGGAAUUAAGGCCGGUGGGAGUGCUCCGUGUGUCAGGGCGCCUUACAAAUGUGGACUUAGUGUUCCAUCGAUUUAGGAGAUCGUCUUGGUAGUUAAGGGGCAGGUAUUUUUCUUUAAGUCUCUCUUUCAUCUCUACCCAAUCAGUUACUUCAUGUUGAUGUCUCCUAGCUAACAGAUGUUCGGUACUUUGCCAGAAAAGUUUAGCUCGACCAAUGAGUUUCAUUCUAGCGAAUCGAACUUUUUUGUUCUCAGACAGAUUGUACCACUCAAAGAAGUGGUCCAUUUCGUGUAACCAAUCGGAGAAGACUUUCGGGUCAAGACGACCGUCAAAAGUGGGGGCUUCAACCCUAAUGCCUCGCAUUACAUUUUCAUCAGGGUCACGAGGUUCUCUGGGUUCUACGGUAUGUCGGUGACCUCUAUCAAUAUGAGGAAUGGGACCAGGUCCUCUAGGGCGAGGGUAGGCAUAAUGGUGACCUGGAACAUGCCUAUUAUCAAAGUUGUUUGCUUGGACUUGGGCUUUGGUAUAUUGGACUUGAGCAUUAGUUUUUUGGACUUGGGCAUUAGUGUUUUGGACUUGAGCAUUAGUGUCUUGGAUAGCUUUUAAUAGGGCUUCGAUUUUGGAAUCCAUGCCUAAUUGGGACUCAGGAUGAGAUGCGUCACGACCACUACGUAGAUGCAUAAAAUGAAUGUCAAAAUGUAUGAUCCGACCAACUAUAAAUGUUCCUAAGUAGACCUAAUGCAUGAAAUGAAUUCAAAAUUGCAAAGUAGAUACUCAAUAUAAUCGGAAGCUAACUCAAGCAAUUAAAAUUGGCUUUGAAUUACGUAACAAAUUCAGAUAAGUAGUUGCAGUCAAAUAGUACUAGUUUUCAGUGUGUUGCAGGGUUGCACAGAGCCUCAAAGAACUCCCAAAGAUUAGGUAGCCCUACAAUUAAUAACAAAGAUAGGCUACUACUAGGAUUUUGGUGUCGUUUGGAGUGGAUGUGUUAAAUUUUCAGGAGGCAAUAUCAAUAGAGCACUUAAGAGUUAAUUAAUUCUAAAUUUAGACAAACAAAUAAAAUUUGCAGUAAGGAAGAAACCUGACCUGGGUUGGGGUGACGACCAGAAAACCUGCACAGUAAGUAGGCUUGUCAAACGGCUCCAGUUGGGGUUGAUCUCAGCAACACGGCAGGUCGAAAUGGGCUCUGCAGUGGCGUUGCAGGCCGACGGGCUUGGGCCUGUGAGGAAGAAAUCGGAUUGGGCCCGGUGUUUAGGGCCUGAGAGUCGGGCCCGGUGGAUUCUUUGGGAGUGCGGGCGCGGGCCCGAUGAGAGAAUCGGCU